CCUACGGGUGGCAGCAGUGAGGAAUAUUGGUCAAUGGGCGCGAGCCUGAACCAGCCAAGUAGCGUGAAGGAUGAAUGCCCUACGGGUUGUAAACUUCUUUUAUAAAGGAAUAAAGUGAGGCAUGUGUGCCUUUUUGUAUGUACUUUAUGAAUAAGGAUCGGCUAACUCCGUGCGAGCAGCCGCGGUAAUAUGGGGGAUCCGAGCGUGAUCCGGAUUUAUUGGGUUUAAAGGGAGCGUAGAUGGGUUGUUGAGUAAGUUGUGAAAUUUUGCGGCUCAACCGUAAAAUUGCAAUUGAUACUGGCAGUCUUGAGUACAGUAGAGGUAGGCGGAAUUCGUGGUGUAGCGGUGAAAUGCGUAGAUAUCACGAGGAACUCCGAUGGCGAAGGCAGCUUACUAAACUGCCACUGACAUUGAUGCGCGAAAGUGUGGGUAUCAAACAGGAUUAGAUACCCUUGUAGUC
RNAcentral lists this ribosomal RNA (460 nucleotides) under uncultured bacterium. RNAcentral describes it as "partial 16S ribosomal RNA". It matches the Rfam family "Bacterial small subunit ribosomal RNA", at positions 338 to 795 of the family's 1533-position model. The record is from RNAcentral.